AAGUCGUAACAAGGUUUCCGUAGGUGAACCUGCGGAAGGAUCAUUAACGUGAUUGUCUGGUGCAGCUGGUGCGCGUGCAAGCGCGCGUCAGCUCGCCCUGGCAAGCCGACCUUGUGCUGCGUAUGCCGUGUGUGUUGCUAUGUGUGCUGCACAUCGCCCUUGCGGGGGAUGGGCGCACACAUGCGCAUGCCUUUUUUUGUAAACACCGUUAACACCAUACAUUCUGAUUAUCUGCGUGUGCCUGUGCACACGGUAACAUCGAAAACUGCCAGCAAUGGAUCACUCGGUUCUC
RNAcentral lists this unclassified non-coding RNA (292 nucleotides) under fungal sp. Its description in RNAcentral is "partial internal transcribed spacer region". The stretch from base 1 to 46 matches the Rfam family "Eukaryotic small subunit ribosomal RNA", at positions 1786 to 1831 of the family's 1831-position model. Lineage: Eukaryota; Fungi. The record is from RNAcentral.